UUAGUACUCCCUCCGUCCAAUAAAAGAUGUCUCAAGUUUGCUAAAAUUUGGAUGUAUCUAGACAUGACUUAGUGUAUAGAACUAUAGAUGCAUUCAAAAAGUCAAAGUUGAGACACCCUUUGUUGGACGAAGAGAGUAUAUG
This is a non-coding RNA of Brachypodium distachyon (stiff brome), 142 nucleotides long. The record is from Rfam. Lineage: Eukaryota; Viridiplantae; Streptophyta; Magnoliopsida; Poales; Poaceae.